Molecule: ribosomal RNA, 466 nt
Filed under: uncultured bacterium
Lineage: Bacteria
Description: partial 16S ribosomal RNA
Rfam family: Bacterial small subunit ribosomal RNA
Source: RNAcentral
GACGAACGCUGGCGGCGCGCCUAACACAUGCAAGUCGAACGAGCGAGAGAGAGCUUGCUUUCUCAAGCGAGUGGCGAAAGGGUGAGUAACGCGUUAGGAACCUGCCUCACAGAGGGGGACAACAGUUGGUAACGACUGCUAAUACCGCAUAAGCCCACAGCUCGGCAUCGAUCAGAGGGCAAAGGAGCAAUCCGCUUUGAGAUGGCCUCGCGUCCGAUUAGCUAGUUGGUGAGGUAACGGCCCACCAAGGCAACGAUCGGUAGCCGGACUGAGAGGUUGAACGGCCACAUUGGGACUGAGACACGGCCCAGACUCCUACGGGAGGCAGCAGUGGGGAAUAUUGCACAAUGGGGGAAACCCUGAUGCAGCGACGCCGCGUGGAGGAAGAAGGUCUUCGGAUUGUAAACUCCUGUUGUGGAGGAAGAUAAUGACGGUACUCAACAAGGAAGUGACGGCUAACUACGUG